AGUGAUUAAAUGUAUGAUUAUGGCCAACUUCAGGAAAUGUGCAACCCAAUGUACAAGAAUCCACUUACUACAUCAAAAGGAAGUGCUGGUCGGCACAUGGUAAGGUGCAAUUCUGCAUUACUUCAGUCUCUAUUUACUCAUGCUACUUAAUCAAGG
Molecule: long non-coding RNA, 156 nt
Organism: Hibiscus syriacus
Lineage: Eukaryota; Viridiplantae; Streptophyta; Magnoliopsida; Malvales; Malvaceae
Exons: 3
Source: RefSeq, a predicted model, not a curated record